Molecule: ribosomal RNA, 16 nt
Filed under: Ficus esquiroliana
Lineage: Eukaryota; Viridiplantae; Streptophyta; Magnoliopsida; Rosales; Moraceae
Description: partial 28S ribosomal RNA
Source: RNAcentral
CAACGCGACCCCAGUC